Long non-coding RNA from Danio aesculapii, 1492 nucleotides. RefSeq lists it as uncharacterized. NCBI's taxonomy places the organism in Eukaryota, Metazoa, Chordata, Actinopteri, Cypriniformes, Danionidae. The transcript has 3 exons. The record is from RefSeq and is a predicted model, not a curated record.
UACAAUGUUGCUUGUGUGUCUGUCCUUGAGUGCAGGAGAAGCAUUGAUGGAACCAUUGAAGCUGGAGCUGGAAGCAGUGGAGACCCAGAUUUGCGAUCUCGAGCGCAGCACCGGGAACAAUGGGCCUUGCUUGGUGUUUCCGGUGCUGCAGCUCACUCAUCUGAAGUAAGUGUGCCAAACAAUCACAACACUCCGUCUACCUCAACCCUGUGUGUUUCUCUGCCCAGGCAAAGCACACUGAGGACGCGGUUCGCCCACGCGUCGUGCACGUCGACACCCGGCUACCACGGUCCCUGGGUGCAGCCGUGUUAGGUGCUUACCAGGUCUCGGGGCAGAACGUCUCCUCCUCCUCCCAUGUUCGAGAUCUCCACGGAGAACCGAUUCGCCCCUCUCCGCCAGAUGGGUCGCAAUGUGGCUAUCAUUGGUGACUCCAUCGUUCGCCAUGUCCGCGUCGUUUCCACCAAAGGUAACAAAGUAUGCACUCACUGCUUCCCUAGUGCUCGCGUUAAGAAUUUUUCUGCCCAGGUAUCUACUAUCCUGAGCGCUGGUGAGAGCCUCGGUGCUGUCGUCCUCUACAUGGAGAUGAAGACACCGGGCUGCGUCAGACGGAAAUCCUGAAGAGUGACUUCAGGAGUCUGAUCGAGAAGGUUCGACGCACCCUGCCACGCAGAUCAUUGUUUCUGGACCGCUUCCUACCUACUCCAGAGGAAAUGAAAGAUUCAGUAAACUUUUUGCUCUAAAUGAAUGGCUAUAAACAUGGUGUAAAGAACAAAAAAUGCUCUUUGCCAAUAACUGGAACCUUUUCUGGGAGCGUCUUAGGCUUUUCUGUGCUGACAGGUGCACCCCAGUCGAACUGGAGCUGAACUCUUGUCGAACAACAUCUCCAGGACGCUUCGGAGUGUCUGACUAGAGCAAGCACAUGGCACAAAUCACAUGUGGGGCACGAUGAGACUGCAAAAGAUCUAUCCUGUCUGCGUUCAUGCCAAGAAAACCACACACACACCCACACAUCCCCUCUGUACCUAUACCAAUAAUGGGUGACCUGUCCUAAUAUACCCAUCAUUGAAGCUUUUGUUGGAUGAAACUCUCCGAGCCCUUUACUCUCUUACUGGAGUCUCCAGUUUUCAAGGACUAUCAGAACAAUCCAGAGGUUCCACCUCUACAACAAUAUCCUCAUAAAUCACUUAAAUUCUACAGGUGCUCAGGGACAGGCUCUACAAUGGUUUAAGUCAUACUAAGCUGACCGUUACCAGUUUGUGAAUAUUAAUGGACAGACUUCAUCAGUCAGCCCAGUAAAGUAUGGGGUGCCUCAAGGAUCAGUUUUAGGCCAUUUUUACGACAUUCAUGCUACCCCUGGGAGACAUUAUUAGAAGACAUGGGAUCAGCUUUCACUGCUAUGCAGAUGAUACUUGAUUGUAUAUUUCAAUUAAACCUGAUGAGAUGUCUGAACUGUCUAAGCUAACUGAGUGUAUUAAAGAUGUUAAUGACUGGA